Molecule: long non-coding RNA, 1124 nt
Organism: Hylaeus volcanicus
Lineage: Eukaryota; Metazoa; Arthropoda; Insecta; Hymenoptera; Colletidae
Exons: 3
Source: RefSeq, a predicted model, not a curated record
CGACGAUCCAAGCAGGAGGAGUCAAGCUAGAACCUAGCCCAGACCUAACCGCAUUGUACAGAUAUUUUAUUCUACUAGUAGGCUUGUACUGACUAUGAUAGAUACUUGGUGCGAUUAGAUUAAGGCUUUCCUCGGCAAAAAUGCGACUAGUGAUAGAAACUCAGACCUAACGACAUUAUGCAGAUAUGUUAUUGUACUACUAGACAUGUACCGUCUAUCAUAAAUACUUAACGCGAUAAGAUCAAUACUUUUGUCAGCGAAAAUGUGACUAGGAAUAGAAAAUCGUGUUUCACAAAAUGGCGCAGCUCCGAGCGACUUGAACAGAAGACAUAGAUUGUCCCUACGGCCUUGGUCAGACGUCGAAAUCGGAAACGUAACACGAGUUUCUAUCGAUUUCUCGCGAGCGCGUUCGUAAAUUGACACGUCAAAUGCUCGAUCGUUCAUUCAUGAAAAUAGUCCACCGAUGGUUUGCGAAGAUACCAAUCGGUUCAAAGAAUCCUCCUCUUGGCAAAGAAGCGAGAGCUCGAGCUCGCGUGGAGACGGGAACGUCGCGAGGAAUCGGUCGCGAAGCCUCGACGAAGACGCGGAUCCGUUGCGAAAUUUUCGAGGUCGCGACCUGCGCUUUUUCUCUUUUUUCUUCAAUGCGACGAUAAGCGGCUGCAGCGACGCCGAUCGAACGCCCCGUAUCGUUCACUCGUCGUCAGGCUAAGAAACCUCGACUGGAAAAUUGGGGAAACUUGGGAAAAUAGGCACUACUGUAACGAACUUUGGUGAAGAGGAACUUUGGUUCAGAGGAAGUUCCUAGAGAUUUCUAGACUCCUCAGGAGACUGAACCGAGCUGAGGAAGAAUGAACAAACAUGGGAAUCGAGGAAGAUAGACAGAGAAAGAUGAAGAGAAUUGGAGGAACCUAGGACCAACUACGGAAAAUAUAAAUAGUUACCUACUAUAAUAGAUUAAUGUAAUAGAUUGGUACUAGCAAUAAUAGCAUAGUUGUAUAGUUCAGUAUAGUACCAGCGUACACUAAUCUAGAUAUACUUGUCUAGAAUAGAAGAUUCUUUACAUUUUCUAGACUUCUAAGGAGCCUAAGAGAGCCGAGGAAGACUGAACAAACUUGGGAAUCGAA